GGCCUUAUAGUCUAUUAGGACAAUAAAUUGCAAAUUUAUAGGUGGGUUAAUCUCUAAGGCUU
Molecule: transfer RNA, 62 nt
Filed under: Oryctes nasicornis
Lineage: Eukaryota; Metazoa; Arthropoda; Insecta; Coleoptera; Scarabaeidae
Description: tRNA-Cys
Rfam family: tRNA
About the family: Transfer RNA (tRNA) molecules are approximately 80 nucleotides in length. Their secondary structure includes four short double-helical elements and three loops (D, anti-codon, and T loops). Further hydrogen bonds mediate the characteristic L-shaped molecular structure. tRNAs have two regions of fundamental functional importance: the anti-codon, which is responsible for specific mRNA codon recognition, and the 3' end, to which the tRNAs corresponding amino acid is attached (by aminoacyl-tRNA synthetases). tRNAs cope with the degeneracy of the genetic code in two manners: having more than one tRNA (with a specific anti-codon) for a particular amino acid; and 'wobble' base-pairing, i.e. permitting non-standard base-pairing at the 3rd anti-codon position.
Source: RNAcentral